Carassius carassius (crucian carp) is the source of this 303-nucleotide small nucleolar RNA. Lineage: Eukaryota; Metazoa; Chordata; Actinopteri; Cypriniformes; Cyprinidae. The record is from RefSeq and is a predicted model, not a curated record.
GCCCAGUGAUGAGACCAAGGCGAAUAUGAGCCUAUUGAAUUAGAGUCUGAGCUCUCCUGUGUUCCUAUUGGCUGGUAAUCUUGGCUGGGCAGUGAAGAUUUGCUGUCUUGCUGUAAGGGCCUGCCUACAUUCAACAAGCCCUAUUCUUUGAAAUUUCUAUCCUUCAAAGAAAUAGGGAAGAAAAAGGAUGGAGCUUACAUUUUGUGUGUGUGUGUGUGUGUGUGUGAAGGGUCACAGGUUGAGUCUCGGUUCUCUGCAGUAAUUCUUUGGGCAUUGAGGUCUCUCUUUGGUAAUCUGAGGGCA